AAGCUGCUUCUUCAUUCGCUGAGCGCUCAUGCUGUUCGCAGUCUGGCUGGCAGUCGGUCCUCUGCUUUUAAAGACCAACUUUGGCUGCUAGAAAUGCCACAUUCUCUCUCCGUAGCUAACUUUUGAAGGUCCUGCUGGUUUUUCCUUUCCAGCUGUUUUUGGACUUUGCCUUGGAGCAACUUCUACAGCGUCGUCUUUUCUUUUCCCGAACAAGCGUGCAGGUUCAAUCUUUGGCGUUACACAACCCUCGGGAGGAUUGUUUCAGACUCCUCGCGCACAAAGACCCCAGCGAUGAUCAUCAGGCUCGGCAGACUGACUCCUGGAUACUUCCGUCUCCUGCAGAGGCAGGUAGCUGGUGAGGUUCAGGCCCCGGCUCACGACCGCUCCGUCAACCAGAUCGCCAUGAUGCUGGCCAUCAUGGGCCUCAGCCUGUCGUAUUACAGCGCCAAACAAAUGACAGAGAAGGUCCGCCCCCAACCCGCCCCGUGAGGAUGUUUCCGGAUUGACGGCGUCCGGAAAAAGACGAAGCCAAACUGAAGAUGUCGAAGAUUCAGACUCUACCUUUUUUAUAACCUCCAGGGAUCACGCACCACGGGACUUCCACUUAGAGGUUCUCUUGCUUUAGUUUAGCCCUCAAUGGAUCUGGAAGAGGUCGCGGCCUGAGUUUUAAUAGUUGUCUUGAUACAUGCAUCAGAGAGUCAGUCGGGAUCAUAACCUGAGCUCCAUAGCAUCUGGAGCUCCACUCAGAGCCAUAAUGCUUUUCAAAAAGGGAAGGACCUCUGUGUUUUGAGAUGUACCAAGCAACUAUUGAAAGCAGGUCCAAUGCACAGAAGCGAAAUGCUCAGAUUUUCCUCCAAAAGACGCUAGAACAUCACAGCCUUGAGGACUUCUAGUGGAGGUGCUGCUGUACAAUACUACACUUGGUGUUAGACACUUUAGGAAACGUACUACACAGAGAGCAUUUGAGGACCUUAUGUUAAAGUGACUUGUUAACUUAAGAAAAUAUCUUCUCAAUGGUCUCCAACACUUUAAAUGUUAAUGCCGACUUUGUGUGCAAUUGCAUGAGUUUGAAGCCGUUUUUUUUUUCCUUUUUAGUGAAACCAAUCUGUAAUGUUCUUUCUAAUGCUUUUUCUUUUUAUGAUAAUGUGAUUUAAGAUGAAUGUACUGUGUGUAAUAUUUUUAAGACACAACGAUCAAAUAAAGCUGUGAAUAUUUUGAACACGAACAAGCAAUGGAAAGCAAGUCGUGACUCGAGACGGUCUAGAAACUGGCCAGACUCAUCGCUGUAGAUUUAAAUGUAAUUCCUGCUGAGUCGAGUUUUACACGAAACCAUCUGAAGGGUUUUCCUGUCGACAGAAGCGUGCUGUUGAACAGGAAGUGGGCACAGCCUCAGGCGACAGCUUCCUCUAUCUGCACGCAAUAUUUGUCUACCAGCGUGCUGCAGUCGGAUUUGUUUGACCCACAAUAAAUUCAAUAGACCUCAAUUACACAUUUGCACACAUUUGACACUUUAUUAAUUUUUUUUUUUUUUUGGUUACUGUGCUUUAAAUUUUGUUUUAAAUGGUGUUUGUGUGCCAUUUUAUUUUGCGUCUCAUUUCCAAAAGAGUGCUGUGGGGCAGUUAAAUGAAUUGUUGCAUUCUGGCCACUUUAUUUAUUUUUUUUAUUUAUUUUUUUUUUCUGUUAAUAUUAUCGGUCCGGACAAAAAUUUACAGACUUCCUAAAACAAAAAUUUGGGGGGAUCUUUGGUGCUUACCAGUCAAAAAUAAGCAUCCUACAAAAUAAAUUUCUCAUGCUCUAUGAUUUUUUUUUUUUUUUUUUUUUUUCUGAUUGCUUAUAGGCCUCAGUGAUCUGAGCUCAUGCACCUAAAUUAAAAUGAAAUUUAACUAUUUACACAGAUUUUAUUUUUUGUUGAGUAAGCUCAGAUCAGUGAGCCCUUUGUUUUCAGCACAGCACAAGGGUUUAACGCGGUGGUUUAAUGACACGUACAUAAAAAAAAAACCUUUCACCACUUGAGUGUUGAGUUUCAUUACCACCACAGUAACGCAAAAACGCCAACAAUGUGUUAGCCAAGCAUUUGUGUACUUGCAGAAAGUAUGUUUCUGGCCUUUCGUUGCACUAAUAUCCUGCACGUUAUCAUUACGAGCGAUCAUUUUUGUCAGACUUCUCCGAGAACUGAAGUGAGAUUACUUACGAGUGGGUGUUCCGUGAAUAAAACCUUAUUAUAGUCUUCCUUAAACACAGAGGUGUUUCAGGAACUCAAAUCUUGAGCCUGCUGAGCGCGUGUCACACGCUUUGCUCGCUGCAUGCUGGUUAUGCUGUGUACGGCUGAUUAGUUCGAGAGGAUGUUGUUGAUUGGAUAUUUGAAAGUCAAAGACUGAGUGUUGGGUCCUCAAAGAAGAAGAAGCGUUCAAUUGUUUUGCUGUAUCUCAGCUAAAUAACUUUUUUCCCUCAAAAAUUUUGGCACUUUCAAAAUAUUGCUCCGUUUGAGCAUGCAAACCCGGUCUGGCUCGUGACCUUUUGUCGGAGCAGAGUUUAUACUCUCAAAAUUGCUGCUUUAUUUUGCUUGGUGCAACGUCUUUGUUUCCUUCGUCAGCCAUGGCUUGCCCAUUGCUAAGCAGUUAAUGUGGCAUUGCAGUCUGUACGUGUUCAUGAGCGUUCGCAUGGAUGCUCGGGGCAGAUGUGAUGUCCUGUGACGGGCCGAGGCUGCAUUGCCUGACACGUGUUCUUCCUCCCGUCACCUUUAGCUCCUCCCUUUGCCGCUCUGCUGUCUGAUCACUGGGCAAAUACGCCCAAAAAAUACUUGCUCGGACCUUUUUAACACGCUGGUUCGGGACGUGAACCGCAUCCCGCUCGUCCCAUUGGCUGUCCGGGGAUGCAUCACGGUGUCGCUGCGGAAACAAAGCGAGGGGAUCACGUUGGCGAAAGAGUAUUGCGCGUGGUUGCUUUAAAAAAACGAGAAGGGAUGAAUAAAGAAGUAGACCUUUAUAUGUGAGCUCUUGUGUUUGGUUUGAUGGUGGUUUGUGGAUGUAAAUGCGGAAAGAAUAAUGUACUAAUGGUACUGUAUAUAUGAAUGUUUUGUAUUAACGAAUGAGACUUUGUUGAUCGUGAGCUUUCAUUAAAU
Long non-coding RNA from Puntigrus tetrazona (Sumatra barb), 3121 nucleotides. RefSeq lists it as uncharacterized. The transcript is spliced from 3 exons. The record is from RefSeq and is a predicted model, not a curated record. NCBI's taxonomy places the organism in Eukaryota, Metazoa, Chordata, Actinopteri, Cypriniformes, Cyprinidae.